This 253-nucleotide ribosomal RNA is filed under the name uncultured bacterium. RNAcentral describes it as "partial 16S ribosomal RNA". It matches the Rfam family "Bacterial small subunit ribosomal RNA", at positions 524 to 776 of the family's 1533-position model. The record is from RNAcentral.
UACGUAGGGUGCAAGCGUUGUCCGGAAUUAUUGGGCGUAAAGAGCUCGUAGGCGGUCUGUCGCGUCGGCUGUGAAAACCUGGGGCUCAACUCCGGGCCUGCAGCCGAUACGGGCAGACUAGAAUUCGGUAGGGGAGACUGGAAUUCCUGGUGUAGCGGUGAAAUGCGCAGAUAUCAGGAAGAACACCUAUGGCGAAGGCAGCUCUCUGGGACGGUACUGACGCUGAGACGCGAAAGCGUGGGGAGCAAACAGG